AGACAGAACUCCAGAUGACUAGACAUCAUUGCUAUGUGAAGACUGCUGAAGAGAAAUUCCAACUGUUGCCUGCAGAGUCCACAUGGUGGUUUUCAUCACGAGCCGAUCAACAUCCAAAUUCAGCAGGGAUGCAGAGAUGACAUUCAGGAUUAUGAGCUGAUGUGGAGAAAUCUACAGAUGACUCACCAAUGGAUCCUCUGCAGUGAAUGGGUG
Long non-coding RNA from Sinocyclocheilus grahami, 213 nucleotides. RefSeq lists it as uncharacterized. The record is from RefSeq and is a predicted model, not a curated record. Lineage: Eukaryota; Metazoa; Chordata; Actinopteri; Cypriniformes; Cyprinidae. The transcript has 3 exons.